AAGGUUUGAUGGAACUGGAUGCAGAAUCCAGAACCCUGGGAGUUUGAUUGUGAUUGUUUUUAAAUCAGAGCCAUAAAAGAUCCUUGUGGCUUUUAAGAGUCUUGUUACAUUGUUAGCAGUAUCUGGUGAAAUCUCGGAAUCCAAAAAUUAUGCUAAAUAGGAUUUCCAGUCAAGAGGAGUGGGGGACGGGGGAAUCAAUUUGUUUUGUAGGCUCUCAUUGUCCAUCAGUAUGUUCAGUAGAAACUGAGUCAACAGUGUGAUGCAGCAACGAAAAAAGCUAAUGCUAUUCUAGCGUGCAACAACACAAGUAUAGUGUCCAGAUCAAGUGAAUAGUACUGUUCUAUUUUGCUUGGGGCAGAGCAUACCUAGAAUACUGUCCAGCUCUGGGUGCCACAAUUUAGGGAGGAUAGUGACAAGCUAGAAUGUGUGCAGGGGGGUGACCAAGAUGAUCAUGGGUCUGGAAACCAAGCCUUAUGAGGAAUGGUUGAGGGAACUGGGUACGUUUGACCUUAUAAAUAGGAGAUUUAGAGAAGAUAUGAUAGGCAUCUUCAAAUAUCUAAAGGGCUGUCACACUGAGGAUGCAGCAAGCUUAUUUUCUCCUGCUCCAGAGGGUAGGACUUGAACCAAUGGAUUCAAGUUCUAAGAAAGGAAAUUCCGACUAAACAGCAGGAAGAACUUUCUGACAGUACAAGCUGUUCAAUAGUGGAAUGCACUCCCAUGAGAGCCAGUGGACUCCCCUUCCUUGAAAGUUUUAAAGCAUAGGUUGGACAGCCAUCUGUCAUGUAUGAUCUAGUUGAGAUUCCUGAAUUGCAGGGAGAUGGGCUGGAUUACCCUUUGGGUCCCCUGCAAUUUUAUGCAGAACAAACAUCUAUAUUCCAAUUCACCAUCAUCCUCAGCUUUUCUUGGCACAGAAUUUUGAGAGGUGUGAGGAUUUUCCAUCUGCUAUUUCAUAGUGCCAGACUCCCAAUUUAUAAAAUUAUACAUGGUGCAUGUUGUAGAUUAUGCUGUGUUAAUAAGUAGAAAGUGGGGCAUGCAGCAAAAUGUAGCAGUGUAAAGAAUGCCAGCCACAUCAUCUUCUAUGAUAUUCCCAUUUCAUUCCCACUCCCAGAAGAUACACUCAGCAUUCUCUGGCCACUGAACAUGCUUAGAAUUCAAUGGGCUUGUCCAGAUUCCCUCACUUACAUUUUCCCCCUCUUUAAAGUUACUGGACCUAUGCAAACAUUUGGGUUGUCCCAACCGUGCUGAUACCCCCUUCUUGUGCACAGAUUGAUGCCAUUUUGGCUAUACAGUGGUACCUCAGGUUACAUACGCUUCAGGUUAUAUACGCUUCAGGUUACAGACUCCGCUAACCCAGAAAUAGUGCUUCAGGUUAAGAACUUUGCUUCAGGGUGGGAACAGAAAUCGGGCUCCGGCGGCGCGGCAGCAGCAGGAGGCCCCAUUAGCUAAAGUGGUGCUUCAGGUUAAGAACAGUUUCAGGUUAAGUACGGACCUCUGGAACGAAUUAAGUACUUAACCCGAGGUACCACUGUAUAAAUACAGGCCUUCAGAGCAUGAGUUCACUAUUAAGAUACAGGAUGCUGAUGUGGUGAUGCAGUUCAGGUGUAUGACAUUCUUCAUGCCUUAUCCAGUGCUCAUUCGUCCAUGGACCCAGAACUUAAGCUAUGAUCAUGUAGAUGUUUCUAACUGGCUCUUCACAAGCCAGUGUUCUCGGUGUCUUGCAAGAUCUUAAUUGAGUCAUGCCCCAAAGAGAAGGUGAAUACUUUUUUAUUAGGUCUCAAUGGGUUUGAGCCAUGAGCUCUCUCUUAGUCUGUUGAUGACUGGUCUGAACUAGACCAGAGAUGUUUUGAAGUGGCCUGGGGAACUGUCUUGGGGACACAAGGUCUAAGAAGGUGAAAAUGCCUGUUUAGCCCCAACUUUCCCACAAGGAGUCUUUUUUUAAAAAAUAUGCAAAGUACACACAGCCCUACCCAAACCAAAUGUAAACAAGCUAGCCUUUAAGAAACAAACUGGAGUAAUUGUGGGGGAAAGGAAAGAUUUGCCUCACCUACCUAGCUGUUGCUAUUAUGUUGGUUGCUAUGUAAACAGUUUUAUUUCUGGCUCACACAGCAUACCAGGUUGUAGGUCAGGGCCAUUUAAUCCUACAUUAUUGGUUUAUGUUUGCUGCAGCCUUCGUCCACUUCAAGUUAGGAUGAAAGCUUCUUCAGCAUUACUCAGGAGCAGCUGUUCUGGCCACCAUAAUGGCAGUUGCUGCUCGAGAUCCAUUGCUGGCAUAAAAGUUUUUUUUGUCAGCACCAGAAAAUAGACAGUAUUCCCUCCCUACCCCUCUCCCUUCCCCAGAGCUGAAAUAGCUGCCACCUGCUAAGGAAUGCUGCUAAGACAAGCCGAUGACAGGCCUGAGAUGGACAUAGGAACGUUGUCCAGCAGGGUGGAGAUUACUAGAAAUCUGACAAAAUCUUUUCUAAUUUUAUGUGGUGGUCAGGAGCAUGGAAUGGAGUGGGGGAGCUGUUCCUGUUCUCUUUUAGCUGUGAACAAAAAAUGAGUAAAUUCUUUGACAAUCUUAUUCCACUUCUGCCAUGUAGAUCUUUCUAACGAAAACAGUUACACAUCAGUGCAGUGAAACAUUACAGUAUUGUUUCAGCAGGGGUAAGGGAGCACAAUAUAGGUAACCAAGUCCCCCUUUAUUAUUUCAGUUGCUAAUUUUGGAUGUUGCACCUUCAUACAGCACAGAGUUCAGUCCUGCUGUGUUUUAAUUCUUAAAUCUCUCCAUCUGGUCUUUUAUAUUCAACCUCACACUACUAAGAAGGCUGGCCCAAACCAUUUUUCUGCUUGUGGUAAAGGACAAGAUGAUGUGUGCCACCAUUCCAUGUUCAGAAGCUAACUGGGCUAGCAGUUGCAUUUUAUUUCAGUUCUCAUAAUGGGGCCAUGCCCUCGAUGAUGACUGAGGUCAGCAGGCUAGUUAUGGGUGUGCAAAACAGGCCAUGUGAUACACAUAGUUCUGCCUUAAAACAGAAGGGUAAGCCAGCAGGCUUCCCCCACUGCUCCCCAGCAACUUCCACCUGAGGCAGUCACCUCAUUCUGCCUAAUGACAGGAUUUGUCCCAAUCACUAAGAAGCCUCAAAGGCCCAUGCAAUGCCAUAUAGGGUUGGAUAUAGCCUGUCUCUUUUUGCCCCUGCAAAUGUAAUGCUAAUGACCUUACAUGUGGCUAGAGUCCCACAGGGGUGAGGGCAGCUGUUGGCAUAGGAAUGCUGUUAGCUGUUCCAGUACAAUCACCAGGUUACAUGCUUUAGCCUUGUCCUUGAGUCAGAAAUUGAUCUUAAUAUUUUGAUUCUGUGAGCUGUUUUGCCAGGGCACUUGCAGCAUUAGUUCUUCUGACCUAGUUUUUUAAAGUACUGUACCACAAAAGGGAUGAAAUAGUAUAUAUAUGGGCUGCGUUGUUAAUGCAGCACCAUAAAGCACUAUGCUGGCUUUGUAGGGAGGUUAUGCUGGCAAUGCAGAUAUGCAGACACGUAUAUUCUUCAUUUUCCUUAGUAGACUUUAGGAACCUAAAAGUUAUCUGAGGUAAAUUGAUAUUACUUAUUAUUAUUGUGCUGUUCUUUCAAGUGUUCAAAGCAAUUCACACACACUAUCUACAUGUAAUUCUUCCAGCACCCCUGUAUGGUUUAUUGGUAUUAUUAUCCCCCAUGUUGCAGAUGGGGGAGGGGAGGACUGAAUCUGAAAGGGAACAGGGGCCACCAGUUAUUUUGAGUCACAUAGAAUCAAGAUUUGGAAUUUUGAGUGUUCUUGGUGCCAGUCACAAAAUGACUGCUGUGGGGGGCAUAGCAUAACACAAAAUGGCUGCCACAUCUAAAGGAGCACAAAAUCAGACAGAACCACAAAAUGGUGCAGGUAUAUUUCCCCACCCCACAAUCAUUGAUUUGGGAGAAAGGCUGGCAUAAGCAGUCUCUGUACUCAAUCACUGAGAGAAGCUCUUUGCACUUCUCCUCUGUUCACAACAUCAGGGAGGGUGCUUAAUGCUGGCAUUCAGUGAAAUAUGGGCAUGUUGCAUGGCUGUCAACGUUUCCCUUUUUUUUAAGGGAAAUUCCCUUAUUCCGAAUAGGGUUCCUCGCAAGAAAAGGGAAAAGUUGACAGCUAUGGCAUGUUGGGGGUGCUCAUUGUAGGAGUGGCUGAGCUAGUGCAAACAUGAAGUGAGCAAGAAGAGCAAGCAGUCUCUAAUGCAUUGUGGGUUUUUGAGGGAAUACCUACUCAGACUUUGCAUGGGUAUCUUAGGAGGUACUGGUAGGCAUAUUGGUGUGUGCCAGUACCACAUUGGCAGACACUGCUAUUGGUUGCAUUCACAUGGCAAUUUCUUCCAUUUCCCUAAUUGUAAAUUUCUGCAUUAUAUUUGAGCUUUCACACAACGUAACAGCCAUGUUGUUAUAAUUGGAUUACUUCUGGAACUGUUAAACAUGGAAAUGAGUGUUAAACAUGGAACUUAACUGCCGCUAGAUUCUUUUAGAUUUCUAAAAGUGGCUUUUACAUCAAAUGAAAGAUCACAUAUAAUACGGAAAUUAAAAGUUAGAGAGACGGAAUGAACUGCUGCGUGAAUGCAGCCCUAGUGAGUUUCUGGCAAUACCAAUAUUCCUAAUUCAUAGCCCUACCGCUACACUAGUUCUCCAAGUAUAUGCCAAACUACACUCACAUUUUGGAGUAGUGAAGUGGGACACAAAAUUACCCUGGUACAAAUCAAAUUAUUUGCAAGUUCACUGGCCUUUGGGACACUAUGCCACAGAGACUUUAUUUUUUUAAAUACGGAGUACAAUUCCUGAUGCUCCGCAGUCACCAAUGUAAUCAGAACUUAAACGGAACCUGAGUGAGGUUUUUUUGCUUCUGCCUAGGCCAAAAAAGUUGCUAACAG
Molecule: non-coding RNA, 4894 nt
Organism: Podarcis lilfordi (Lilford's wall lizard)
Lineage: Eukaryota; Metazoa; Chordata; Lepidosauria; Squamata; Lacertidae
Source: the annotation of a GenBank genome assembly